AGUUCCCCCAAGCCCCAGUUCCACUCAUCUCCUCUCAUCUCUAAAAACUCAAAGAAUGAAGAAACUCAACAAAGAAAAGAACCCUAGUGGCGUAGUCCCCCAGCCCCGGAUCCUGCAACCCCCGCAGCCACCACAGCCCUGCAGGCCCCACAGCCAACGCAUCUUCUCUCUUCUGUUCGAGCUCUCUCUCUGUAUUCGCCGGUGUCACCUUUCUCCCUUUUUGCCGCCGUCACUUCCCUUCCUCUUCGCUGCCGGUAAGCACUCCCAUUCUUCUUCGCCGCCGAAUUUUGGAUUCGGAUCAGCUUCUUAAGCCAUGGCAAAUUUCUCACCUAAUUCAAUCAAUAAUGCCAUUCGCGGACAUGUUUCUGUAUUGAUAUGCUUAUUUUUUAAUUUUAUUGGUACCAUUUGUAUCUAAAUAAUGGAGAGACCUUGUGUUAAUUAAUAUAAAUACAUUAUUUCUAUUAGUGUUUUUA
This is a long non-coding RNA of Arachis ipaensis, 473 nucleotides long. RefSeq lists it as uncharacterized. Lineage: Eukaryota; Viridiplantae; Streptophyta; Magnoliopsida; Fabales; Fabaceae. The record is from RefSeq and is a predicted model, not a curated record.